AAUGGGCGCAAGCCUGAUCCAGCCAUGCCGCGUGAGUGACGACGGUCUUAGGGUUGUAAAGCUCUUUCAGAUGCGAAGAUAAUGACGGUAACAUCAGAAGAAGCUCCGGCUAAAUUCGUGCCAGCAGCCGCGGUAAUACGAAUGGAGCAAGCGUUGUUCGGAAUCACUGGGCGUAAAGCGUACGUAGGCUGAUUUUCAAGUCAGAAGUGAAAGCCCAGGGCUCAACCCUGGAACGGCUUUUGAAACUGGAAGUCUAGAGUCCCGGAGAGGUUAGGGGAAUUCCGAGUGUAGCAGUGAAAUGCGCAGAUAUUCGGAGGAACACCAGUGGCGUAGGCGCCUAACUGGACGGGAACUGACGCUGAGGUACGAAAGCGUGGGGAGCAAACAGGAUU
This 392-nucleotide ribosomal RNA is filed under the name uncultured Alphaproteobacteria bacterium. RNAcentral describes it as "bacterial SSU rRNA". It matches the Rfam family "Bacterial small subunit ribosomal RNA", at positions 370 to 779 of the family's 1533-position model. The record is from RNAcentral. Lineage: Bacteria; Pseudomonadati; Pseudomonadota; Alphaproteobacteria.